GGACUCAUUGUUAUCAACUUUAGCCGAGAAGUGUGUCUGUGUCCAAGCAUUCUCCACCCCAACUGAGAGAUCUUGUAUCCUUCCUGAAACAGAAAACAUGCUAAUUUUUUGCUCAAAAACUAAUUUUAAUUUGCAAAAGUUGAUAACUGCAGUUGGAUUUUAUGUUAAAAUGUUCAUUUGAGAGAGGAACUUUUAUUUUUUAAACCAGCUUUAAUUUUGUUUGAGUCAAAUGAAAAUUGUUGAUGCAUACUUUAAAUUAAAAUGCUACUGUAACCAAAACCAUUUGUACUAUAUUUUAUUCCCUAACCAAAUGAGAGCCAGUUAGAGAAUCGAUGAGGAAUCGAAUCGAUAAAUGAUAUUGAUAAUGGAAUUGGUAUCGCUAAAUUCUUAUCAGUUCCCAUCCCUAGUCUUUAGUAUUUAAUAUUCUUUUGAAAAUUAUUUAUUUUCAUAUUUCUUCAAUAGACAUUGCAGUGUGUUAUUGGUGGAUGCCAAGAAAAUACUGUUAAACUGAAGAAAUUUAAUGUUAAAUUAGCAGUAUUCAAUUCCCAUUGAGGUAAUCAGAUGCCUUAAUUUAAAAAAAAAAAAGUGACAUAUUUUUACGUUUUCAAUGUCCAGAUCUUUGACUUUUGUUUAAUUAAAAAGAAGUUAAAAAAAAAUUAACAAUAAAUAUUCAGUUUUGCUAAACUGAAAAAGUGACUCUGUUGUACUUUUAAGUUAUGCCAACUUCCUAUGGGAGACAUGAAAGCAAUGAGUACCAAUUACUAAAUAUUUUUGAAUUUAUUUAUUAAACAUGUUAGUUUUAUUGUAGCCGAAAGGUACAUGUCAAAGGUAAGUGCCUCUGUUCACAUAAAAGUAUUCACACUAUUAAAAAUCUGUUUUGUGUGUUUCUGUUUGCGAGCUGUACGUAUGGGCCAUGAUUGGCCAUGGCCUCAGCAGGACCCGGCCAUCCCCUGCGCCCAUGCCGGCAUCACCUUCAGAAGAGGCGACAUCCUGGAGAUUGUGAACCAGACGGAUGCCCUCUGAUGGCAGGCAAAGAAACUGCCCAGCAACACGGCAUGUGCCGGCCUCAUCCCCUCUAUCAACCUACUCAUGCUCAUCCAAUCUUGUACUGCAUAUAAUAGUGUACCAUCUUCUGAUAGCUGCUUCCAGGAGGAUAACACACCAUGUCACAAAACUAAGAUCAUUUCAAACUGGUUUCUUGAACAUGACAAUGAGUUCACUGUACUCAAAUGGCCCCCACAGUCAUCAGAUCUCAAUCCAAUAGAGCACCUUUGGGAUGUGAUGGAACAGGAGAUUCUCAUCAUGGAUGUGCAGUGGACAAAUCUCGGAGGAAUGUUUCCAACACCUUGUUGAAGCUUUGCAAAGAACUGAGAUUGCUCUUUAGGUAAAAAAAAAGGGGUCCAACUGGUAUUAGCAAAGGGUACCUAAUAAAAUGACUGUAUUGAUAUAGUUAGGUGUAUUGUUGUGACAUUUCCUGCAGUAGGAUGACACUCGAAAAGUUCAUCCUCCAUCAAGGUCAAUGCCCAACUUCGCAAUUUUAAAUAAAGUCAUCUCGAACUGCACCAGAAAUAUUUUUUUUCCUCUCUUAGCCUUCUCCACGUCUCCACUGGGUUUCAACAAAGUACUUUAUCUCGUUAUCUCUUUCAUAGAGAUACUAACCUCAACUGAAGGAUGUGUGUGAGCAUUGAGAUCCUAAUAUAGAUUUAUAAACUGAAAGUCAAAGUGUUGUUUAUUGUUUGCAUCUUUCAUGGUUCUUUGCCAAUCAGGGUGCGGCAAAGCCACCUAUCAGCUUUAUACACACACUCUGACCCAUAAAAGCAUGUCACACCCUGCAUGUGUGCCAUGACCAACAACCACUUGAGCUCCUAUUUUGAGUAAAUGUUUUCUGGCGUAAAUAAAAAAGCCAAGCCUUUUUCUAAAGUUGUUUUUUUCCGCCCCCACUAACUGGAAGGUCAUUAUUUAUUGACAUCACAUGUUUCUCAUGUUAAUAACUACAAUCCAUACUGCUUUAUAAAAGUAUAGCAAUUAUUCACUUCAGCUGACAAAUAUUAGACUGAUGUUUCCAAUCAGGAGCCUUAUUAAAAAAAAUAGAUAUUGAAGUAGAAAAAAAUUUCUUGAUUUGCUGAGAAAAUUCUUCACAUUAAUAAACGGGACGCCCAACAUCAUACCAGCCUGUCUAAAUCACCAACUGUUGUACACAAAAACUGUGCCCAGUGGUUAAAACUUUAGAAUUAGAAAAACACAUUUUAAAAAAUUUGUAACUUCUCGUGCCAAUUUCUCCUGAAUCUGCUGCACCUCAAAGAUCCAAUAAAUGCAAUAAAAUGUCCAAAUGUUUUUAGCAGAAGUUCUCUGAGUGUAAAA
Long non-coding RNA from Oreochromis niloticus (Nile tilapia), 2361 nucleotides. RefSeq lists it as uncharacterized. NCBI's taxonomy places the organism in Eukaryota, Metazoa, Chordata, Actinopteri, Cichliformes, Cichlidae. The transcript is spliced from 3 exons. The record is from RefSeq and is a predicted model, not a curated record.